RNAcentral lists this ribosomal RNA (506 nucleotides) under uncultured bacterium. Its description in RNAcentral is "partial 16S ribosomal RNA". It matches the Rfam family "Bacterial small subunit ribosomal RNA", at positions 29 to 523 of the family's 1533-position model. The record is from RNAcentral.
AGUGAACGCUGGCGGUAGGCCUAACACAUGCAAGUCGAACGGCAGCACAGGAGAGCUUGCUCUCUGGGUGGCGAGUGGCGGACGGGUGAGGAAUACAUCGGAAUCUACUCUGUCGUGGGGGAUAACGUAGGGAAACUUACGCUAAUACCGCAUACGACCUACGGGUGAAAGCAGGGGACCUUCGGGCCUUGCGCGAUGGAAUGAGCCGAUGUCGGAUUAGCUAGUUGGCGGGGUAAAGGCCCACCAAGGCGACGAUCCGUAGCUGGGCUGAGAGGAUGAUCAGCCACACUGGAACGGAGACACGGUCCAGACUCCUACGGGAGGCAGCAGUGGGGAAUAUUGGACAAUGGGCGCAAGCCUGAUCCAGCCAUACCGCGUGGGUGAAGAAGGCCUUCGGGUUGUAAAGCCCUUUUGUUGGGAAAGAAAUCCAGCUGGCUAAUACCCGGUUGGGAUGACGGUACCCAAAGAAUAAGCACCGGCUAACUUCGUGCCAGCAGCCGCGGUAA